RNAcentral lists this long non-coding RNA (2884 nucleotides) under Equus caballus (horse). RNAcentral's name for it is "lncRNA (ENSECAG00000046526.1)". Lineage: Eukaryota; Metazoa; Chordata; Mammalia; Perissodactyla; Equidae. The record is from RNAcentral.
CUGGCGGCCGAGGCCGGAACAGCCCCUGAGCGUCCGUGCGGGCGGUGCGGGCGAUGCCGGCCGCGCGGCCACCCUGGUCCCUGCCUUCCAGCCGGGCUGCAGCGGAAAUCAGUGACAAGUGGGACGAGCAGCCAGAUGGCACGCAGUCAGCUCCCGGGUGCACAGAGAAAGCGACGCGAGCUGCCGAGGACGACGGAAUCACCAGUGAGUUCAGCCGCCACGCAUCAGAGGUCAUGAAACACCUGUCGGCUUUGUUUGUUUUACCAUUGAUGCAUUGACCAGACGCAAAUAGCAUAAAUUGUCAAAAGACCUGAAUAUAGAGAAUUUACACAAGGAAAAAACUUUCCAUCAUAUGAAAAUAAUGCUAAGUUACCAAAAUGUCCUGGCCUCCAUUUCUGGCCAGACUGUGAAGGAACUUGGUUCACGACAACGUUCCAGGACUGGGUGAAACUCGUGAUUCCAUCAGAGGACAGUUUGGUGCAGGACGAACCACAAGCCGUAAAAAUGAUCCUGCCCUAUGAUGGACCCCAUCAGCAGUCCCGGACCUGGGAAACAGGCGAAAGAUAUAAUUAAAGGAAGAAAAACGCUUUUGGAUGGGAGAUAAAUAUAGGAGGAUUCGUUAGAGUCAUACUGAGAAUGGACAGGCGGGCCGAGGGUUACUCCUUUUGAAGGGGACUGAGUAAGCGCGCUUCCCAACUUCCACUAAACUGUUUGAAGGGUUUAUUUUCCUUUAUUUGAAAAACCUAACACAGACGUUUUCCAAUGUGGGCUGUAUAUCCAGAAUAAUGAAGAAAGUAGCUUAAUUUGUCUUUGGAGAUAAAUAGCCACUUGAAGAUGUGCCUUAAGACAGCAAGCAUUGAAUUACCCUUACAUUUGUGGAUACUUAUUCUUUUUAACUUUUAAAACGUGAAGUAUAGUCUUUUAUUAAUAAAUCAAAUUUCUAUGUAAUUUUAUUCCUGUAAUGUUAAGUGUAGCCCUAAAACUUUGCUGUUAAUUCCCCAAAGAUCAUUCCUUUUCUCUUUACCACAAUAUUCAUGUCUGUAAGUCCAUUUCUGAGUAUAAAUGUUUAGAUAUUAUCGGGUCAGACGUGGAAGGCUGAAAGCUUUAAAAAGUCCUCCUGGGCCGGAAGGGUCCGGCCAGUGUGCCCUCAGUGCCCUGCGCUGCGUUCUUCCUCCCCACGGCAGCUCUUAUUCUAAUUCUUCCUCUGCGAGUGAACCUCGAGCCAUCUCCCCUGGUGCGUCUUGGGUCUUUAGCGCUGAGUCCUCAGAGAGUCGAGCCGUGACCUGUCCACAGUUGGUAGAUUUGUUGUGAAAACACCAGGACCUGCAGCCAGAGCUCUGUGGUGUCCUCCUGAAGGGUGGGGAGAGGGCCUCCCCUUGUCCUUUGGGUCACCUGGAGACCCUCUGCCUCGGAGCAGCGGCCUGGGUGUGAGAAAGUCUCAGCUGGUGAGGAAGGAGGUGGAGGUUUGCGAUUCUCCCACACGGAAUAUGAAGCCCGAAGAACUCUCCCCCAGGCCUCGGCCUCCGCAGACUCGGGGCUGGUGCAGCUCCGGGAGCAGCCGCUGCUCAGGAAGCUCCGGGCCCGAGCUGGGGGAGGGCCACGGUCAGGGCCGGGCUGGUUUACGAUUGUAACCAAGCAUCUCAGGAAACCUUCCUCUUUCCCUCGGCUUCUACCCUCUGCGCUGGCCUCACCUCUCGGUGGAGGGUUCUAUGAUACUUCUACUGUCUUAUCCAUUUUCGAGAAACAAACCCUUCCCCACGUGGGUUAGCUGUGACUAACAAACUUCUCUACCUAACCUUUUUUCCGUUAGAAAAUACGUUCCAAGCUCCCCCGCAGGACUCUGGGAACAAGAGAGAUCUCUGCGCCCGGGCAGCCCCUCCAGAGAGGAGACUCCUUCGGGAGGGAGGAAGCAGGGGCGGGAGCAGGCGUUGCAGGGCCUCCCAGCAGCCGUGCGCCCCGGGCAGUUAUCCGCUGCCUGUCUGGGCCUCUGUUUCCCUACAUUUAGAGCCAGAUAGUCGUACAUGCAGAGCUCUGAGAGUCAGAGACAAGAUAGGAGAGUGUCCAAAAACAGGCUCUGCACACUGAAUAAAACAAAGCAGAAGCACAAGUUUAUUGCAAGGCUUUCGACCGGCAAGCCAGGAAACUCAAGGCUAUGGGAGCAGUGAGUUCCAAGUUGCUCACGGACCACGGGAUUUUCCUGGGAUAAAUGCACAAGAUAUUCGGCUUCUGCAGCUGAUCGGUGGCCCAGCAGUCUUCUUUCUUACUUGGAUCCGGGUAGCUGAGUCAGGGGAAGUCCAGAGAUGGCGUGAACGGACUUGGCAUUUGGGGAUUGGCUGGUGAACUCUGCUGAUUUCCGAGAUCUGUCAAUUCCUGUAAGGUUAAUAAGGCUCCAGGAGGGUGCCUUCCUUUCCCAGGAUCACCCUUCAAGUGUCACCUCAUGGGAGGUCACCAACCCUGGGCCAUGAGCCUCCUCCCCCACCUCGAAGACCUGAGCAGCAUCGGUGGACUCGUACAGCACACCCAUCCUUUCCCUCUUUCUUUCCAUUCCUUGCAGAAAAUAGCACAGUUGCUACUGCAGGGCUUUGAAUCGCAAGCCUGCUGGCUGAAGACACAGUGACUUUUCUCAAUUUUCUUAUAACACACGCCACGUGGAAUCAUCUCAUCCAACUGAGUUGGGCAGCAGGUGUCUCUUGUGCACAAAGAAAAAGGUUGUUUAUAGAAACCAGAAAUAUCACUUAUGCAGUUGUACCCUGACCGUCAGCCCUGUACGGCACUCAGUGUUGACCUGCCCUGAAAGAAAUGAUAAGGGAAUCCUUCCAGUUGAAGUGAAAAUACACUAGACAGUAACAUGAAGAUGUGAAGAAAUAAAGAUGUCUGGUAAAAG